This 3069-nucleotide long non-coding RNA is filed under the name Gossypium barbadense (sea-island cotton). RNAcentral's name for it is "long non-coding RNA (GBAR_LNC022678)". The record is from RNAcentral. Lineage: Eukaryota; Viridiplantae; Streptophyta; Magnoliopsida; Malvales; Malvaceae.
GAAAAAUAGGAGGGUUCGGGUAAAAAUAUAAGCCCGAAAUAUAAGUUUGGGUAAGAAAUGAGGCCCGUUUUAAAAAUGGGCCGGGUCUCGGGUAAAAUUUUUUUAACCCGGGCCCGACCCGGCCUAAAUUUAAUUAAUAUAUUUUUUAUUUUUAAAAUUUAUUAUUAGUUAUUACUGUCAGUUUUCAUUAAUACAUUUCCCAUUUCUUUUCCCUUCCCUUCCCCAUUUCCCUGACCUCAAAUAAAUCUCUAACCCCUUCCCUUCCUUUUUUUCCCCCAAAUCGGAAAUCCACCUCCACCUCCACCUCCACCUCCACCGAUCCACGACUCCACGACUCGACAGUGCUUCUAGUCUUCUUCGUCUUCUCAAAGGUGAGUUUGCUGUUAACCUUUGAAUUAGUUUUUUGCUUUGUGCUUUGUGCUUUUUAUUUUUAUUCGAAUCAGUUCCCUCAUUCUCUUUCAAUUACAGAGGAAUAGGAAGGUCUAACAGACUAACACAAACAGUAGAUGUAUAAUUUCUUUUGGUUGGAUUAUUUUUCAUUUUAUGUAUAAUUUCUUUUGGUUGGAUUAUUUUUCAUUUGAUGUAUAAUUUCAGAUAUUUGUUGAAAGCCUAGAUGCUAAAACUUCAAUUUCGAUUUUUUUAUUAUUGUUAUUUUUUGCUUUUUAUUUUUAUUUGAAUCAAUUCCCUCACUCUCUUUCAAUUACAGAGGAAUAGGAAGGUCUAACAGACUAACACAAACAGUAGAUGUAUAAUUUCAUUUGGUUGGAUUAUUUUUCAUUUGAUGUAUAAUUUCAGAUAUUUGUUGAAAGCCCAGAUGCUAAAACUUCAAUUUCGAUAUUGUUAUCCUUUAAAAACAUAAAAAUGUAAUGAAAUGAUAAACUUUAAAAUAUUAUAUACAAAAAAAAAUACAAUUUGAUAUUUGAUAUAAAUUCAAUAACAUUUAAUUUUAAUAACAAUUAGUUUUAACUUUUAAGUCAAAAAAAAAAGAGUUGGGCUGGGCUUCAUAUUUUUUUCACGGGCCGGGCUUGGACAAAAUUACAUGCUCAAAUUUUGGACCGGGCCGGAGCCUAAGAAACGGGCUAAAAUUUUUGUCAGCCCGACCCGGCCCAGGAGCACCUCUAAUCAGCACUUAUUUCUCUUAAGUGCAAUCAGAGGAUAAAAUCAAUAACUAAGAUGAGCAUAACAUGUAAUAGAUGGUAACAUCAACAUUGGUGUCCCAACAUGUCAGCAGGCAAAGAAAACUAGCUAUUAUCUAGGUGCUAUCAGAAAGUACGCAUAGCUUACUGCUUGUUCAAGAACGGAAGUUUUAUGGCUAAAUCGAGCAGCUAUACGUGGAAAAAAUACCUGUGAUUACUAUGAUCAAUGAUUAGAUGCUGCAACAAAACUAUGAGAAGUAGACUGCACAAUCUGCUGAAGUAAAAUCCCUUUAGCAAGCUAAGGACGAACUAAAACUUGCAACAAAUUACUUGAGAAGCAAAUUUGUAAAGAAAAGUUAAAAUCAUACCAUUCUACAGCUCCAUGUUCGUCCCGGAUCAUUGUAACAGGCAAUCAUACAAGUAAUUUCGAUAUCAUAGAAUUUUUUUAUUAUUAUUUUUAAUAAAUUUGAUGUAUUAUAUAUUUUUAAAUUUGUUUUAUAUGAUAUUUUUUUUUAAAAAUUAAUGUGGAAAAUCAAUAUACCAAACGUUCAUAUUAUUAUAUAUAUUUUAAAGAAAACAUCAUGUCAAAUAAAUUAACAAAUCAAACGAAAAUUGGUAAGAUUUAGACCUUUUUUUUUUUUGUAAAUGUAAAGAAUUGAAGUUGAUUAAAUUUAACUGAAUCCACACAAAACAUAAAUAUGGGUAUAAUUUCACCUUUUGAAAAGUUUAAAUUAUACUAUUAGUCCCUGUAAUUUAUAAAAAUUAUGGAUUUAACUUUUAUAUUUUAAUUUGGUAAAUUUUAAUUUCUAUACUUUUUUAAAUUUUAAAAUUUCAAUCCUUUUCAAAUGACAAUUGUUAAAUUCAUUAGAUUUUGUUAUUUCCAAAAUUCAAUGCGACAAACAUGUUAUCAUAUAUAUAAUGCCUUAUCAGCUUGUUAAUACUCACUAAAGUUUCAACUAAUGGAUUAAAAACUGUUAUUUUUGUCAAUACUGAAAUUUUAAAAUUUGAAAAAUAUAAAAACUUAUUCCAAUGGAGAAAUAUAGACCAAAUCUACAUGUGUAUGCAUAGUAAAAAAGUAGUAAUUGAAUUUAACCAAAUAAAUUUAAUUACUACGGUUUGAAUUAAGACUAAAAUUUUAAAAUUAAAAAAAUACAAAAACAAAAUCCAAAACUUUUACCAAACAAAAGAAUUUAACCUUUAAAAAACUUCACCGUACGUUUAGAAAUGGAAAAAAGAAAAAGUGAGUGUUGACUUGAAUCUUGAUUGGGUCAAAUUAAACUGGUGGUGUUGGAAACAGUACAAUUGUAUGACACAAAGAAAAGGAAUAAGAAAAAAAAACAUUCAAAGUUAUCGUCCAGCACAAAUAGUUUUCGUACAUCAUAAAUUAUAUAUUUUAAUGGGUUAUUUGAUUAUCUGUUUGUACUGAUGAUGGGUUUUAAUAUUUUUAUGGAACGAUUAACAUAAUAACAAAAAUUUUGUGUAUCAGUCUAAAAAGUUGAACUUUUCUUUGAUUCACUCUAAAACUUAAACUUUGGUUCGGAUUAUGAUUAUACCAUAAAAAUUAACAUAAAACAGAUUUAUUGUCUUAAAAAAUGCAAUGCAAAUCCAACUUGUCAUGAGCCAUGUAAAAUUUAUAUAUUGGUAAUAAGUGCUAGAAUAAUACAAGAAUUAAAUAAUGUCAAUUAACACUAGUUCUGAUGAAUUUCACAACAAUUACAUUUCUUAAAUUUUCUUCCCUCUGAAUUGUUGUGGGUGAAGUUGUAUGUUAUAUAAUACAUCAAUGAGAAAAAAUAAAAAUAAAAAUCUUAUUUUUGACCAGUUUCAUUACUACCGGCCGAUGCAGCACCAAAUUUCACGACGAACUCAGGAAACGCCGGUGGUGCAAGAUGAGGAACACCACCACCACCACGACGGCCUACGGCAUCCAUUUCAG